RNAcentral lists this ribosomal RNA (274 nucleotides) under uncultured bacterium. Its description in RNAcentral is "partial 16S ribosomal RNA". It matches the Rfam family "Bacterial small subunit ribosomal RNA", at positions 523 to 796 of the family's 1533-position model. The record is from RNAcentral.
AUACGGAGGGUGCAAGCGUUAUUCGGAAUUACUGGGCGUAAAGCGCGCGUAGGUGGUCUGUUAUGUCAGAUGUGAAAGUCCACGGCUCAACCGUGGAAGUGCAUUUGAAACUGGCAGACUUGAGUACUGGAGGGGGUAGUGGAAUUCCCGGUGUAGAGGUGAAAUUCGUAGAUAUCGGGAGGAAUACCGGUGGCGAAGGCGACUACCUGGCCAGAUACUGACACUGAGGUGCGAAAGCGAGGGGAGCGAACAGGAUUAGAAACCCUGGUAGUCC